Non-coding RNA from Rhodobacterales bacterium 65-51, 49 nucleotides. NCBI's taxonomy places the organism in Bacteria, Pseudomonadati, Pseudomonadota, Alphaproteobacteria, Rhodobacterales. The record is from Rfam.
GAACCGUCACAACGGCUUCCUGGCGUGGCGGGGAUACAUCAACGGAGCA